RNAcentral lists this long non-coding RNA (290 nucleotides) under Anser brachyrhynchus (Pink-footed goose). RNAcentral's name for it is "lncRNA (ENSABRG00000005093.1)". The record is from RNAcentral. Lineage: Eukaryota; Metazoa; Chordata; Aves; Anseriformes; Anatidae.
UCUCAAGCAGCAUGUUACAGACUGGUGGGACCUAUGUAUAGAAAUGAGGGAGGCUACAGAACACUGCCGUAGAUGACUAAGCCACGAGUCAAUGAUGAACAAGACCAGCGGAUCAUUAUGUAAAGACUGCCCCUGUAAUCUUGCCAAGAUGACAUUUGAUGUCUAUGCAUUGUCACAGUGUAUAAUGGCAUCCUGUGACAUAUGUCAACCCUAUGUGACAAGCAGCAUGAGGAAUAGAUUUGAAAUAUAGAGGAAAUAAAUGCAAGAAUCAAUGGCUUCUGCUGGCUGCA